UACGUAGGGGGCAAGCGUUCUCCGGAUUUAUUGGGCGUAAAGUGCAUGCAGGCGGUCUACCAAGUUCGUAUUGACAAUUCUUGGCUUAACCAAGAGAGAGGUACGAAAACUAGCAGACUUGAGAGCAAUAGAGGGACACGGAAUUCCAGGUGGAGCGGUGAAAUGCGUAGAGAUCUGGAGGAACACCAAAGGCGAAGGCAGUGUCCUGGGUUGUUUCUGACGCUCAGAUGCGAAAGCUAGGGGAGCGAACGGG
RNAcentral lists this ribosomal RNA (253 nucleotides) under uncultured bacterium. RNAcentral's name for it is "partial 16S ribosomal RNA". It matches the Rfam family "Bacterial small subunit ribosomal RNA", at positions 524 to 776 of the family's 1533-position model. The record is from RNAcentral.